RNAcentral lists this ribosomal RNA (2404 nucleotides) under Lachancea nothofagi CBS 11611. RNAcentral's name for it is "23S ribosomal RNA". It matches the Rfam family "Bacterial large subunit ribosomal RNA", at positions 1 to 2402 of the family's 2925-position model. Lineage: Eukaryota; Fungi; Ascomycota; Saccharomycetes; Saccharomycetales; Saccharomycetaceae. The record is from RNAcentral.
AAUAAUAGAUUUGAAAUAUUUAUUAUAUAGAUUUAAAGGGAUAAUCAUGGAAUACAUAAGUUAUUAAUAGUUAUAGGUUACUAAUAAAAUAUAUAUUAUAUAUAUUUUUAAUACCUAAGGGAAACCUAUAAAAUAUAAAACUAAGUGAACUGAAACAUCUAAGUAACUUAAGGAAAAUAAAUCAACCGAGAUAUCAUAAGUAUUGGUGAGAGAAAAUGAUAUAGUCAAAAAUUAAUAAUUCUAUUAAUUUAAAUAAGUAUUAUGUAAGAUAAUAUGUAAGAAUAUAGGACAAACUAGUUCUAAGACUAAAUACUAUUAAUAAACAAAAUAAGUACCGUAAGGGAAAGUAUAUAAGUGGUUAUUCUAUAAGCAGUUAUAAAUAUAAUUAUUAUAUUAAUAACGUACCUUUUGUAUAAUGGGUCAGCAAGUAAUUAAUAUUAGCAAAAUAUAUAUAUAUACAUUUUUAUAAAAUGUAUUUAUAUUAUAAAUAAAUUGAAUAUUUAAUAAUUGUAUAACCCCCUCUUUCAUAUCUAUGGAAAAGGGGAUUAAGUUAAUAUUAAUUGACCCGAAAGCAAAUGAUCUUAUUAUGACAAGACGGAAAUAUUAUAAAUAAUAAUAAAACGGUCGAACAGGUUGAUGUUGCAAAAUCAUCUGAUUAGUUGUGAUAAGUAGUGAAAGACAAAUCUGAUUUGCAGAUAGCUGGUUUUCCACGAAAUAUAUGUAAGUAUAGCCUCUUACCCAUUCUUCCCCCGUAUAUUUAUAUACGGAGGGGGAAAAUAUAUAAUUAUUAUAUUAUAAAAAUAAUAUAAUGGACGGUACAGCUACAAAUAUCCUUUCAUCUUUAUUACUUAUUAUUUUAUUUAUAAAAUGAUAAGUUUAUGGAUGAUUUUUGGGGAAUUAUUGUAAUUUUAUCAAAGAUAUUUGAUCUCGAAAUGUUUAAUUAUAUAAUAAGAGAGUCAGACUAUGCGCGAUAAGGUGAAUAGUCUAAAGGGAAACAGCCCAGAUUAAGAUAUAAGGUUCCUAAUUUAAUAAUAAGUGAAAUAAAUAUUAAAAUAUUAUAAUACAAUUAGUUGAUGGGUUUGACAAUAACCAUUCUUUAAUGAACAUGUAACAAUGCACUAAUUUAUAUCUUUAAUAUUUCAAAUCAAAAAUAUAUUUUUGUUAAUAGACAAUAUACGGAUCUUAUACAUAUUAUUAUUAAUUAAUUAAUUAAUUAAUAAUAAUAAUAAUUAUUAAACCGAAUAUCUAAAUAUUAUUAUAUAUAAUUAAAUAUAAUAAUAUGGUAGUGGAACAUCUAAUGAAGAAAUAUAUUAGUCAUUGAUUAAUAUAAUAUAUAUAUAAAAAAUAUAUAUAUAAUAAUUAGAUAGAGAAUGCUGACAUGAGUAACGAAAAAAAGGUAUAAACCUUUUCACCUAAAGCAUAAGGUUUUACUAUAAAAGUACGGCCCUUAAGUUAAAUAUGAAUAUAAAUAUAUAAAUGAUAGGAUAAAUCUAAAUUAAAAUAAAAAAACUUUAUUAUUAAUUAAUAAAAUAAUUAAUAAACUAAUAGAGUUCAAGAAAUAUUUUUAAUGGAUACCGUAAUGUAUACCGACUCUGGUAUGUUAGUAGAGAAUAUGAAGGUGAAUUAGAUAAUUAAAGGGAAGGAACUCGGCAAAAAUAGCUCUAACGUUAGUCAAUAAAGAGAACCCCGCUAUGCGGGGUAUUAAGAACAAAGUUGUCCAACUGUUUACUAAAAACACCGCACUUUGCAGAAACGAUAAGUUAACGUAUAAGGUGUGAACUCUGCUCCAUGCUUAAUAUAUAAAUUAUAUUAUUGAAAGAUAAUAUAAUUAAAGUUAGGUAAAUAGCAGCCUUAUUUUGAGGGUUCUAAGGUAGCGAAAUUCAUUGUCCACUAAUUAUGGUCCUGCAUGAAUGACGUAAUGAUACAACAACUGUCUCCCCUUUAAGCUAAGUGAAAUUGAAAUCGCAGUGAAGAUGCUGUGUACCUAUAGUGUGACGGAAAGACCCUAUGCAGCUUUACUGUAAUUAGAUAGAUCGAAUUAUUAUAUAUCAUAUUCAGAAUAUUAAGUAAUUGUUUAAAUAAAUAUGAGAUACUUAUUUUGAUAUUUAUAAUAAUUCUAAUCCUAUAUAUUAUUUAAUAGAUUUAUUCUUAAAUUAUCCCAUCUUCCUAAUAUAAUUAAGAAGACGGGAAUAGGAGACAAUCUCUAAUUGGUAGUUUUGAUGGGGCGUCAUUUUCAGCAAAAGUAUCUGAAUAAGUCCAUAUACAUAUUAUAAUCUUAUUUCUAUUCUCCCAAAUUUAACAUAUUAAUGUAUAUUUGAGAGGAUAAUAUAAAGUAUAUAUUAUAUAUAUUAAUUGUAAAUUAGCCCCCCCCACCCAACUGCAAAGCAGUUGGGUGCGGGGGGGA